Molecule: ribosomal RNA, 377 nt
Filed under: uncultured bacterium
Lineage: Bacteria
Description: bacterial SSU rRNA
Rfam family: Bacterial small subunit ribosomal RNA
Source: RNAcentral
UAAUACAGAGGGUGCGAGCGUUAAUCGGAAUUACUGGGCGUAAAGGGUGCGUAGGUGGUUGCAUAAGUUAGGUGUGAAAGUCCCGGGCUUAACCUGGGGAUUGCGCCUAAGACUGUGUAGCUAGAGUACUGUAGAGGGAGGUGGAAUUUCCAGUGUAGCGGUGAAAUGCGUAGAUAUUGGAAGGAACAUCGGUGGCGAAGGCGACCUUCUGGACAGAUACUGACACUGAGGCACGAGAGCAUGGGGAGCAAACAGGAUUAGAUACCCUGGUAGUCCAUGCCGUAAACGAUGAGAACUGGCUGUUGGAUAUCUUCGGAUAUUUAGUAGCGAAGCUAACGCGUUAAGUUCUCCGCCUGGGGAGUACGGCCGCAAGGUUA